CCCCUAGCUCUUAUAGCCCCACAACCCCCCUAGGCGCCGUGUGCUUGGUUUUAGGUUGGGGCGACCGCGGAGUACAAUAAAACCUCCACAAUGAAUGGGAACACCCCCUUAUCUGAGGGCCACACCCCCUAAGAAUUAGAACACUAACAUAAAAUGAUCCAUUACUUGAUCAAUGAACCAAGUUACCCUGGGGAUAACAGCGCAAUCCAUUUCAAGAGCCCCUAUCGACAAAUGGGUUUACGACCUCGAUGUUGGAUCAGGGUACCCCAGUGGUGCAGCAGCUACUAACGGUUCGUUUGUUCAACGAUUAAAACCCU
RNAcentral lists this ribosomal RNA (317 nucleotides) under Mantidactylus melanopleura. Its description in RNAcentral is "partial 16S ribosomal RNA". It matches the Rfam family "Bacterial large subunit ribosomal RNA", at positions 2213 to 2597 of the family's 2925-position model. Lineage: Eukaryota; Metazoa; Chordata; Amphibia; Anura; Mantellidae. The record is from RNAcentral.